RNAcentral lists this ribosomal RNA (420 nucleotides) under uncultured Candidatus Pelagibacter sp. RNAcentral describes it as "bacterial SSU rRNA". The stretch from base 46 to 420 matches the Rfam family "Bacterial small subunit ribosomal RNA", at positions 1 to 374 of the family's 1533-position model. The record is from RNAcentral. Lineage: Bacteria; Pseudomonadati; Pseudomonadota; Alphaproteobacteria; Candidatus Pelagibacterales; Candidatus Pelagibacteraceae.
CUAUAGCCACCUCCUCGCGCGCCACAAGCGUGCGCACGUGGUUGUUAAAGCUAGAGUUUGAUCCUGGCUCAGAUUGAACGCUGGCGGCAGGCUUAACACAUGCAAGUCGAGCGGAAACGAUGAUAGCUUGCUAUCAGGCGUCGAGCGGCGGACGGGUGAGUAAUACUUAGGAAUCCACCUAGUAGUGGGGGAUAGCUCGGGGAAACUCGAAUUAAUACCGCAUACGUCCUACGGGAGAAAGCAGGGGAUCAUUAGACCUUGCGCUAUUAGAUGAGCCUAAGUCGGAUUAGCUAGAUGGUGGGGUAAAGGCCUACCAUGGCGACGAUCUGUAGCUGGUCUGAGAGGAUGAUCAGCCACACCGGGACUGAGACACGGCCCGGACUCCUACGGGAGGCAGCAGUGGGGAAUAUUGGACAAUGG